UACGUAGGGCGCAAGCGUUGUCCGGAAUUAUUGGGCGUAAAGAGCUCGUAGGCGGCCUGUCGCGUCCGCUGUGAAAUCCCGGGGCUUAACCCCGGGCGUGCAGUGGAUACGGGCUGGCUAGAGGCAGGCAGGGGAGAACGGAAUUCCCGGUGUAGCGGUGAAAUGCGCAGAUAUCGGGAGGAACACCGGUGGCGAAGGCGGUUCUCUGGGCCUGUACUGACGCUGAGGAGCGAAAGCGUGGGGAGCGAACAGG
This 253-nucleotide ribosomal RNA is filed under the name uncultured bacterium. RNAcentral describes it as "partial 16S ribosomal RNA". It matches the Rfam family "Bacterial small subunit ribosomal RNA", at positions 524 to 776 of the family's 1533-position model. The record is from RNAcentral.